Molecule: ribosomal RNA, 274 nt
Filed under: uncultured bacterium
Lineage: Bacteria
Description: partial 16S ribosomal RNA
Rfam family: Bacterial small subunit ribosomal RNA
Source: RNAcentral
AUACGGAGGGUGCAAGCGUUGUUCGGAUUUAUUGGGCGUAAAGCGAGUGUAGGCGGCUUGGCAAGUCGGAUGUGAAAUCCCAGGGCCCAACCCUGGAACUGCAUCCGAUACUGCCAGGCUAGAGUCCCGGAGAGGGUGGCGGAAUUCCCGGUGUAGGGGUGAAAUCCGUAGAUAUCGGGAGGAACACCAGUGGCGAAGGCGGCCACCUGGACGGUGACUGACGCUGAGACUCGAAAGCGUGGGUAGCAAACAGGAUUAGAAACCCUAGUAGUCC